Molecule: ribosomal RNA, 459 nt
Filed under: uncultured bacterium
Lineage: Bacteria
Description: bacterial SSU rRNA
Rfam family: Bacterial small subunit ribosomal RNA
Source: RNAcentral
AGAGUUUGAUCCUGGCUCAGAACAAACGCUGGCGGCGUGCCUAAUACAUGCAAGUCGAACGGGGAAAGCUUUCAGGUGAGUACUAGUGGCGCACGGGUGAGUAAUAGGUGGGUAAACUUCCUUAGAGUGGGGGAUAACCAGUCGAAAGAUUGGCUAAUACCGCAUAUGACCACAAGAUCUGCGGAUCAAGGGGUAAAACGUUUUUGGCUCUAAGAUGUGCCCGCCCGGGAUUAGCUAGUUGGUGAGGUAACGGCUCACCAAGGCAACGAUCUCUAACUGGUCUGAGAGGAUGACCAGUCACACUGGAACUGAGACACGGUCCAGACUCCUACGGGAGGCAGCAGUAGGGAAUAUUGCACAAUGGGGGAAACCCUGAUGCAGCGACGCCGCGUGAGUGAUGAAGGACUUCGGUUCGUAAAGCUCUGUCGCAAGGGAAAAAGUUCUGAUUGUACCUGCAAG